This 709-nucleotide ribosomal RNA is filed under the name uncultured bacterium. RNAcentral's name for it is "bacterial SSU rRNA". It matches the Rfam family "Bacterial small subunit ribosomal RNA", at positions 56 to 767 of the family's 1533-position model. The record is from RNAcentral.
UGCAGUCGACGGUGAAGAGGAGCUUGCUCCUUGGAUCAGUGGCGAACGGGUGAGUAACACGUGAGCAAUCUGCCCUUGACUCUGGGAUAACUGCGGGAAACUGUAGCUAAUACCGGAUAUUACCUUGGAAGGCAUCUUCUGGGGUGGAAAGAAUUUUGGUCAAGGAUGAGCUCGCGGCCUAUCAGCUAGUUGGUGAGGUAAUGGCUCACCAAGGCGACGACGGGUAGCCGGCCUGAGAGGGUGACCGGCCACACUGGGACUGAGACACGGCCCAGACUCCUACGGGAGGCAGCAGUGGGGAAUAUUGCACAAUGGGCGCAAGUCUGAUGCAGCAACGCCGCGUGAGGGACGACGGCCUUCGGGUUGUAAACCUCUUUUAGUAGGGAAGAAGCGACUGGGUUUUCCUGGGAGUGACGGUACCUGCAGAAAAAGCACCGGCUAACUACGUGCCAGCAGCCGCGGUAAUACGUAGGGUGCAAGCGUUGUCCGGAAUUAUUGGGCGUAAAGAGCUCGUAGGCGGUUUGUCGCGUCUGCUGUGAAAACCCGAGGCUCAACCUCGGGCCUGCAGUGGGUACGGGCAGACUAGAGUGCGGUAGGGGAGAUUGGAAUUCCUGGUGUAGCGGUGGAAUGCGCAGAUAUCAGGAGGAACACCAAUGGCGAAGGCAGAUCUCUGGGCCGUAACUGACGCUGAGGAGCGAAAGCAUGGGGA